This 468-nucleotide ribosomal RNA is filed under the name uncultured bacterium. RNAcentral describes it as "partial 16S ribosomal RNA". It matches the Rfam family "Bacterial small subunit ribosomal RNA", at positions 28 to 507 of the family's 1533-position model. The record is from RNAcentral.
GACGAACGCUGGCGGCGUGCUUAACACAUGCAAGUCGAACGGAAAGGCCCUGCUUUUGUGGGGUGCUCGAGUGGCGAACGGGUGAGUAACACGUGAGUAACCUGCCCUUGACUUUGGGAUAACUUCAGGAAACUGGGGCUAAUACCGGAUCGGAGCUCCUGCUGCAUGGUGGGGGUUGGAAAGUUUCGGCGGUUGGGGAUGGACUCGCGGCUUAUCAGCUUGUUGGUGGGGUAGUGGCUUACCAAGGCUUUGACGGGUAGCCGGCCUGAGAGGGUGACCGGCCACAUUGGGACUACGAUACGGCCCAGACUCCUACGGGAGGCAACAGUGGGGAAUAUUGCACAAUGGGCGGAAGCCUGAUGCAGCAACGCCGCGUGCGGGAUGACGGCCUUCGGGUUAUAAACCGCGUUCGCCUGUGACGAAGCGUGAGUGACGGUAAUGGGUAAAGAAGCACCGGCUAACUACGUG